AGGACGAACGCUGGCGGCGUGCUUCACACAUGCAAGUCGAACGAGGCUCAUCCGGUGGCAACACUGGAGAAGGCCUAGUGGCGAACGGGUGAGUAACACGUGAGCAACCUGCCCCGAAGACCGGGAUAACACCGGGAAACCGAUGCUAAUACCGGAUGUCCCCACGCGCCUACAUGGGCGCAUGAGGAAAGGAUUCCGCUUCGGGAGGGGCUCGCGGCCUAUCAGCUCGUUGGUGGGGUAACGGCCUACCAAAGCGAUGACGGGUAGCUGGUCUGAGAGGACGAUCAGCCACACUGGGACUGAGACACGGCCCAGACUCCUACGGGAGGCAGCAGUGGGGAAUCUUGCGCAAUGGGCGAAAGCCUGACGCAGCAACGCCGCGUGGGGGAUGAAGGCCUUCGGGUUGUAAACCCCUUUCAAUAGGGACGAAACUGACGGUACCUACAGAAGAAGCCCCGGCCAACUACGUGCCAGCAGCCGCGGUGAUACGUAGGGGGCGAGCGUUGUCCGGAUUGAUUGGGCGUAAAGAGCUCGUAGGCGGCUCGGUAAGUCGGGUGUGAAACCUCCAGGCUCAACCUGGAGACGCCACUCGAUACUGUCGUGGCUAGAGUCCGGUAGGGGACCACGGAAUUCCUGGUGUAGCGGUGAAAUGCGCAGAUAUCACGGGGAACACCGGCGGCGAAAGCGGUGGUCUGGGCCGGCACUGACGCUGAGGAGCGAAAGCGUGGGGAGCGAACAGGAUUAGAUACCCUGGUAGUCCACGCCGUAAACGUUGGGCACUCGGUGUGGGGCCUCAUCGACGGGCUCCGUGCCGUAGCUAACGCACUAAGUGCCCGCCUGGGGAGUACGGCCGCAAGCUAA
RNAcentral lists this ribosomal RNA (861 nucleotides) under uncultured bacterium. RNAcentral's name for it is "bacterial SSU rRNA". It matches the Rfam family "Bacterial small subunit ribosomal RNA", at positions 26 to 897 of the family's 1533-position model. The record is from RNAcentral.